This is a long non-coding RNA of Daphnia carinata, 1270 nucleotides long. RefSeq lists it as uncharacterized. Lineage: Eukaryota; Metazoa; Arthropoda; Branchiopoda; Diplostraca; Daphniidae. The record is from RefSeq and is a predicted model, not a curated record. The transcript is spliced from 3 exons.
AAACAACACACACGUAUAUAUAAUGAUAUAGUAUAAAGUUGUAGGUACGGAAUUUUCGGAGAGAAAAUGAAGAGACCUAAAAAGCGAAACGUUGUCAUAUUCGGGACGGAUGGCAAAACUAAUGAAAAGUUUCGCUUCUACUUGCAAGAGUUUUGUGGGCCCGAAAAAACUAUACCACCCGCCAGUCUGUGUAUCUUUGCUUGCUAUUACUUACUAUACGGGGAGGACUCUUGUAGACAACACCAAAGAGCCACGUAAUCCAAUAGACGCAGAGACCUCUUCAAUAUGACGGACGCGUGUGUGGCUGGGAUGUAUCUGCAGGAGAAAAGAAGAAGAAGAAGAAAAUUGAUUUGGAACAUAAGAGGACACCCCCUCGUUGAGGAUGUAUACAACGUUUGGGCGCGGAGGGGAAUGAAUUAUCAAAAUAUCAUCCUGGAUGACGUUUUUUUUCACGCGAAACUUAAUUACGUAAGUAUCGAUUUCCAGGUAAAAUUCCUUCUGAAUGAUCUUUUCUUUGUUGAAAAAUAACUUCCAGUAGUGACACGUGGAUGUUUCGGCUAACUUUAGUAGCUAUUCUUACGGUAGACACAUUCAUCUCCUAGCCCAAAAGAGCCGUCCCUUUUUUUUUUUUUUAUAGGCUGUUGCCGUGUAGCGUGAAAUAGACACUAGGAUACAUCGGAAAACAAGGCGCCACAUACAACGUCCUCCUCCCCGUCCCCACGCGCGUUCCCGGUUUAUUGAUUUAUAUGUAUACACGUAACAGACGGAGAUGCCAGUGUGUGAGACGGAAGCUGGAUUAGUGGUAGUACAACAGAGAAGCGUGUGCCAUUCCAAAUGAUUCCUCUUUUUCGUUUAUCGUUGGGCAAUCGUCUCCACUAAUAACGGCAAGCUCCUCCCACAUUUCAAUCAAAUUUUCAGUUCGUUAAGUAUUACGAGUUAAAAAAAAAAAUGCUUUUUUUUUUUUACGCAAUCUUUUUACGAUUGAAUUAUUGCAUCAAACAGAUUUUUCCUAAAGACAUUUUUUUUUUCGUUUUGUUUACAAGAACACAGGGAAAUAAAAAGCCCGCGGGUCACGCCGCUCUGCGCCGACUCCGAUUACUUCCCUUUGCACCAACCCUCCUUUUUUUCGACAGGCGGGAGGAUAGGGUUUGAACGCUGAGGGGGCCUGCUGCACGCCGAAAGAUAGAAACUCCUCAAAAGCCGAGCCCAUCAAAAAUGAAAUGUAAAUGAAACAAGGAUCGACGGAGCGAAAUACUUCUUAAAUCGUCAC